RNAcentral lists this ribosomal RNA (253 nucleotides) under uncultured bacterium. RNAcentral's name for it is "partial 16S ribosomal RNA". It matches the Rfam family "Bacterial small subunit ribosomal RNA", at positions 524 to 776 of the family's 1533-position model. The record is from RNAcentral.
UACAGAGGUCUCGAGCGUUGUUCGGAUUCAUUGGGCGUAAAGGGCGCGUAGGCGGCGCUGUAAGUCAGGUGUGAAAUUUCGGAGCUUAACUCCGAAACUGCAUUUGAUACUGCGGUGCUUGAGGACUGGAGAGGAGACUGGAAUUUACGGUGUAGCGGUGAAAUGCGUAGAGAUCGUAAGGAAGACCAGUGGCGAAGGCGGGUCUCUGGACAGUUCCUGACACUGAGGCGCGAAGGCCAGGGGAGCAAACGGG